This 328-nucleotide ribosomal RNA is filed under the name uncultured soil bacterium. Its description in RNAcentral is "bacterial SSU rRNA". It matches the Rfam family "Bacterial small subunit ribosomal RNA", at positions 26 to 380 of the family's 1533-position model. The record is from RNAcentral.
AGAGCGAACGCUGGCGGCAGGCCUAACACAUGCAAGUCGAACGGACCCUUCGGGGUUAGUGGCGGACGGGUGAGUAACACGUGGGAACGUGCCUUUUGGUUCGGAAUAGCUCCUGGAAACGGGUGGUAAUGCCGAAUGUGCCCUUCGGGGGAAAGAUUUAUCGCCAUUAGAGCGGCCCGCGUCUGAUUAGCUAGUUGGUGAGGUAAUGGCUCACCAAGGCGACGAUCAGUAGCUGGUCUGAGAGGAUGACCAGCCACAUUGGGACUGAGACACGGCCCAAAACUCCUACGGGAGGCAGCAGGUAGGGAAUUCUGCGACAAGUGGGACG